RNAcentral lists this microRNA (21 nucleotides) under Callithrix jacchus (white-tufted-ear marmoset). Its description in RNAcentral is "cja-miR-876". Its record names the gene cja-miR-876. RNAcentral also lists the same sequence under 1 other name. The record is from miRBase by way of RNAcentral. Lineage: Eukaryota; Metazoa; Chordata; Mammalia; Primates; Cebidae.
UGGAUUUCUUUGUGAAUCACC